CCCUUAGAUGUUCUGGGCAGCACGCGCGCUACAAUGGUCUUCGCAAACGGAUGCAUUCUCGAAGGAGAAUGCCAAUCUUGGAAUCUAUGCCUUGGUCGGGACAGUUGCUUGCAAUUUUUCGACUCGAACCAGGAAUUCCUUGUAAUCGUGAUUCAUCACAUCACGAUGAAUACGUCCCUGCCCUUUGUACACACCGCCCGUCGCUCCUACCGAUUGAGUGAUCCGGUGAGCUAUUCGGACUGUAUGCUUGUCACUUUGGCUUGCGUAUGGGAAGUUUCGCGAACCUUAUCACUUAGAGGAAGGAGAAGUCGUAACA
This 316-nucleotide ribosomal RNA is filed under the name uncultured eukaryote. RNAcentral's name for it is "partial 18S ribosomal RNA". It matches the Rfam family "Eukaryotic small subunit ribosomal RNA", at positions 1470 to 1796 of the family's 1831-position model. The record is from RNAcentral.